AUGGCUGUCGUCAGCUCGUGUCGUGAGAUGUUGGGUUAAGUCCCGCAACGAGCGCAACCCUCGGCCUUAGUUGCCAUCAUUUAGUUGGGCACUCUAAGGCGACUGCCGGUGAUAAGCCGGAGGAAGGUGGGGAUGACGUCAAGUCCUCAUGGCCCUUACAGGUUGGGCUACACACGUGCUACAAUGGCGGUGACAGAGGGACGCAAAAGGGCAACCUUUCGCAAAUCUCAAAAAACCGUCUCAGUUCGGAUUGGGGUCUGCAACUCGACCCCAUGAAGUUGGAAUCGCUAGUAAUCGCAGAUCAGCACGCUGCGGUGAAUACGUUCCCGGGCCUUGUACACACCGCCCGUCACACCAUGGGAGUUGGCUUUACCUGAAGACGGUGCGCUAACCGCAAGGAAGCAGCCGGCCACGGUAGGGUCAGCGACUGGGGUGAAGUCGUAACAAGGUAGCCGUAGGGGAACCUGCGGCUGGAUCACCUCCUUUCUAAGGAUGAGCCUUCAUGGAUGGGCCCUCACGCCCGCCAUAUCGGCUCGACCUAGACAACGGACCGGUCUUAGGAAUCGGACCGGAUCCUAAAUCAGAGCGGGAUUCCGCCGUCUCCGUUUCUCUUUCUUCAAGGCAAGAGCUCGCGUUCUCAUCGGAGAACGUACGCUUGGCAUCGGGCCUGUAGCUCAGGUGGUUAGAGCGCACGCCUGAUAAGCGUGAGGUCGGUAGUUCGAGUCUACCCAGGCCCACCACCUAAGGCGCGUAGCGUUCGCAACCGGGGCCAUAGCUCAGUUGGGAGAGCGCCUGCUUUGCAAGCAGGAGGUCGUCGGUUCGAUCCCGUCUGGCUCCACCAGCCUUCGCCGCUCCGCGGCUUCGGCUUGGCGAGCCAAGUUGCUGCGAAGGCUGUCACGCCGAAGCGCAGCGAAGGCGGAUCGCGCAUCAACAACGCGCACCACACUCGUCCAUGCAUCGAAUUUGUAUCGCGUCGAUCCUCGAUCACGCGGUGCAGGUUGUCUGACAUCGUGAAGAGGAGAUCGAUCCGCAGUUGUACGCAGUGAUGAGCUGCGUCCGACACCCAUAUCCUAUAGGCGCGCUCGACCGCACGCCUCGCGGGUCGAUCUCGAAGCAAGCUGGUCUUUCUGUCAUUGCUCACACCGAACGGGCUUCCUCUUUCGCAAGAGAGAGGGUGUUCAUUCGGAAUCACCGCCGAGGUGAGUGGGCAUUGAUGAUGAGAGCGAUCAAGUGCCUUAAGGGCAUUCGGUGGAUGCCUUGGCGCUGAGAGGCUAUGAAGGACGUGCUACGCUGCGAUAAGUCACGGGGAGCUGCGAAGAAGCUUUGAUCCGUGAAUUUCCGAAUGGGGAAACCCGG
Molecule: small RNA, 1356 nt
Filed under: uncultured Pseudolabrys sp.
Lineage: Bacteria; Pseudomonadati; Pseudomonadota; Alphaproteobacteria; Hyphomicrobiales; Xanthobacteraceae
Description: bacterial SSU rRNA
Rfam family: Bacterial small subunit ribosomal RNA (bases 1-486)
Source: RNAcentral